CAGCCGCCACGGUAAUACGUAGGUCCCGAGCGUUGUCCGGAUUUAUUGGGCGUAAAGCGAGCGCAGGCGGUUAGAUAAGUCUGAAGUUAAAGGCUGUGGCUUAACCAUAGUACGCUUUGGAAACUGUUUAACUUGAGUGCAAGAGGGGAGAGUGGAAUUCCAUGUGCAGCGGUGAAAUGCGUAGAUAUAUGGAGGAACACCGGUGGCGAAAGCGGCUCUCUGGCUUGUAACUGACGCUGAGGCUCGAAAGCGUGGGGAGCAAACAGGAUUAGAUACCCCUGUAGUCCCUGUCUCUUAUACA
Molecule: ribosomal RNA, 301 nt
Filed under: uncultured bacterium
Lineage: Bacteria
Description: partial 16S ribosomal RNA
Rfam family: Bacterial small subunit ribosomal RNA
Source: RNAcentral